This 583-nucleotide long non-coding RNA is filed under the name Castor canadensis (American beaver). Its description in RNAcentral is "lncRNA (ENSCCNG00000026871.1)". Lineage: Eukaryota; Metazoa; Chordata; Mammalia; Rodentia; Castoridae. The record is from RNAcentral.
GGGGGUGGCACCUCUGCUAGCCAGAGGAUGCGAAGGGCUGGGCUGCGCUGGUGCCAGGUACGCAGGGCCACUCGAGCAGAAGGACAGUCUAGUGACACGGCAGCUUGAGCCAGUGUUGACAGUAGUAACGCAGCCCCUCCACGCGCUUUCCCACGGCCACGCCCCUCGCCGUGGCCAACUUCCCAGAGCCCGACCUCCGACACGCGCUCUGCGCGCCCUCGGCGCCAGGGGAGCCGGCGGUGAGCGCGACCGGAGGGUCCCCCCGCCCGGAGCCUGGGGACAGGCAUCCUCGGGCGACCAUUAGGUCACCAGCCGCGCCGCGAGCCCCGUCCGAGUCCGAGCAGCAGCGUCCCCUGGUUCGGCCGCGUCAGGGACGCUCCCGACCUCUGCGCAGCUCGGCGGCAGGAGUGUAUGUGUUCCAUCAGGAAGGAAUCCACCCAUGGAGCCUGGCUCACCUGGCCAUGUUAAUAGCUGUUCUCUUUAAUGCACCAAGAAGCAUUUGCAGACCAUGUGGCCUUGGCUCCUCUGGACAGCCUUUAGAGGAUGUAAAACCAGCUGAAAGACAAAGCAAGGCCUCCCUGCA